UUUUUUCCGUAAAGUUUAAUUCAUUGUAUCAUCAUCACUUUUUUCUAUUUAUUCUUAAGUUUAUUUUUGUACAAAUAUUUUUUUCAGUAUAAACUUUCAAAAUUUGCACAGGUGCAAUGUUGUAGUUUUGCUGUGUUGCAAACGUUGUUGUCAGUCAAACAAAAUUUGUAAAAACACCUUCUUUUAAUUUUGUUUCAAAAAAUAUCAAAAAUUUCAUUUAUACAUCCAACGCUCAAGUAAAUUACUCGAAAAUUACACAGAACACAAGUCCUUAUUAAAUGAAGAAUUUUUAAAGUGUAUCGUAAAAAUAAUUUACUUGUUUCAAAACUGUUAAAAUGAAAAUGCGAAUAUAUAAAAAACAGAAGCAAUUGGUAAAUAUCACAGAUUAACGAAUUAUUUAUUUUUUUUUUUAAGAAAAAUAGAUACUAGAACACUAGGAAACUAUAAAGAUAUUACCAGUAACGCGCGUGUUAAAAUUAGUAUGAAAGUUUCCA
This is a long non-coding RNA of Daktulosphaira vitifoliae (grape phylloxera), 494 nucleotides long. RefSeq lists it as uncharacterized. NCBI's taxonomy places the organism in Eukaryota, Metazoa, Arthropoda, Insecta, Hemiptera, Phylloxeridae. The transcript is spliced from 3 exons. The record is from RefSeq and is a predicted model, not a curated record.